This 441-nucleotide ribosomal RNA is filed under the name uncultured bacterium. RNAcentral describes it as "bacterial SSU rRNA". It matches the Rfam family "Bacterial small subunit ribosomal RNA", at positions 339 to 797 of the family's 1533-position model. The record is from RNAcentral.
CUACGGAAGGCAGCAGUGGGGAAUAUUGCACAAUGGACGAAAGUCUGAUGCAGCAACGCCGCGUGGAGGAUGACACAUUUCGGUGCGUAAACUCCUUUUAUAUGGGAAGAUAAUGACGGUACCAUAUGAAUAAGCACCGGCUAACUCCGUGCCAGCAGCCGCGGUAAUACGGAGGGUGCAAGCGUUACUCGGAAUCACUGGGCGUAAAGAGCGUGUAGGCGGAUAUAUAAGUCAGAAGUGAAAUCCAAUAGCUUAACUAUUGAACUGCUUUUGAAACUGUAUAUCUAGAAUGUGGGAGAGGUAGAUGGAAUUUCUGGUGUAGGGGUAAAAUCCGUAGAGAUCAGAAGGAAUACCGGUUGCGAAGGCGAUCUACUGGAACAUUAUUGACGCUGAGACGCGAAAGCGUGGGGAGCAAACAGGAUUAGAUACCCCUGUAGCCCU